Molecule: ribosomal RNA, 246 nt
Filed under: uncultured bacterium
Lineage: Bacteria
Description: partial 16S ribosomal RNA
Rfam family: Bacterial small subunit ribosomal RNA
Source: RNAcentral
UAGGGGGCAAGCGUUAUCCGGAUUUACUGGGUGUAAAGGGAGCGUAGACGGCUACUGCAAGUCUGAAGUGAAAACCCAGGGCUCAACCCUGGGACUGCUUUGGAAACUGCAGAGCUUGAGUACCGGAGGGGUAAGCGGAAUUCCUAGUGUAGCGGUGAAAUGCGUAGAUAUUAGGAGGAACACCAGUGGCGAAGGCGGCUUACUGGACGGUAACUGACGUUGAGGCUCGAAAGCGUGGGGAGCAAA